UAAGACAGAGGUGGCGAGCGUUGUUCGGAAUCACUGGGCUUAAAGGGCGCGUAGGUGGCAGUGCAAGUCUGGGGUGGAAUCCCAGGGCUUAACCCUGGAACUGCCUUGGAAACUGCAUUGCUUGAGUCAGUGAGGGGAGGGUAGAAUUCCUGGUGUAGCGGUGAAAUGCGUAGAUAUCAGGAGGAAGGCCUGUGGCGAAGGCGGCCCUCUGGCGCUGGACUGACACUGAGGCGCGAAAGCGUGGGUAGCAAACAGGAUUAGAUACCCUGGUAGUCCACGCCCUAAACGGUGGGUACUAGGUGUAGGGCUCGUAAGGGUUCUGUGCCGAAGGGAAACCAUUAAGUACCCCGCCUGGGGAGUACGGCCGCAAGGUUGAAACUCAAAUGAAUUGACGG
Molecule: ribosomal RNA, 395 nt
Filed under: uncultured bacterium
Lineage: Bacteria
Description: bacterial SSU rRNA
Rfam family: Bacterial small subunit ribosomal RNA
Source: RNAcentral